This 457-nucleotide ribosomal RNA is filed under the name uncultured bacterium. RNAcentral describes it as "bacterial SSU rRNA". It matches the Rfam family "Bacterial small subunit ribosomal RNA", at positions 28 to 467 of the family's 1533-position model. The record is from RNAcentral.
AAUGAACGCUGGCGGCGUGCUUAACACACGCAAGUCGCGCGCGAAGGAGGCUUCGGCCUCUGGAGAGCGGCGAACGGGUGAGUAACACGUGGGUAAUCUGCCUGGGAGCGGGGGAUAACCUGGGGAAACUCGGGCUAAUACCGCAUACGUUGACAGGGUUAUGGUCCUGUCAGGAAAGCUGGCCUCUGCUUGCAAGCUAGCGCUCCCAGAGGAGCCCGCGGCUGAUUAGCUAGUUGGUGAGGUAAUGGCUCACCAAGGCUUCGAUCAGUAGCCGGCCUGAGAGGGUGAUCGGCCACACUGGGACUGAGACACGGCCCAGACCCCUACGGGAGGCAGCAGUGGGAAUAUUGGACAAUGGGCGCAAGCCUGAUCCAGCAACGCCGCGUGGAGGAUGAAGGUCUUCGGAUCGUAAACUCCUGUCAGACGGGACGAAGGUAGCGGGGUGAACAAUCCUGCU